This 614-nucleotide long non-coding RNA is filed under the name Salvia miltiorrhiza (redroot sage). Its description in RNAcentral is "long non-coding RNA (SMIL_LNC011635)". The record is from RNAcentral. Lineage: Eukaryota; Viridiplantae; Streptophyta; Magnoliopsida; Lamiales; Lamiaceae.
GCACAAAAAUGGGUAAACUAGGAUCAUAUGAGAAUUUGGACAAGAUUUGGGUUACGUGGUUAGCAAAGAUGGCCUUCAAUCAUCUCAACAUCCAUAACACAUCUACUUUCAUUUUUUUAGUAGAGGACUUAUGGCAAGUUCUAGAGAUUAACGAGCAUGUUCAAUUGAUUUACACUCAAGAAUGAAAUGAGAUUGUGAUAAUAUGACAAUCAAUGGCUCAAAUCUUACAAGCUCAUUAUCAAGUUCUUGGAGGCAAAACAUUUAACUCACUUGUCACAAGUUCAAACUUUUCAUGCAUAAUCCACAAGUGAUACACACAAUUUUUCCAAGAAACAAUUCAUAUCAUAAGCCCAAUGACAUUCAAUCAACAUCACAAAGUUUGAUACAAUUAUCCCAAGCAAAACAAAAACAAAAAUAUCAACCCAACUAACUCUCAAGCUUUCAUUUAUUCAACAAUAACAAAAACAAGACAACAAAACUAAAACAAACAAAAACAAGUAAAGCAAAAGAUAGAUGAGACAACUAAUCCAUCUCUCCCCUCCCCCCAAACUUAUUUCACACAAAGUGGAAAUGAGUUUGGAGGAAAAGAGAAGGAGAAGUUGUCUCGGACUCAC